UACGUAUGGAGCAAGCGUUAUCCGGAUUUACUGGGUGUAAAGGGAGCGUAGGCGGCUCUGUAAGUCUGAUGUGAAAAUUUGGGGCUCAACCCCAAACGUGCAUUGGAAACUGCAGGGCUUGAGUGCCGGAGAGGCAGGCGGAAUUCCUAGUGUAGCGGUGAAAUGCGUAGAUAUUAGGAGGAACACCAGUGGCGAAGGCGACGAUCUGGCCUGCAACUGUCGCUCAGUCCCGAAAGCGUGGGGAGCAAAUAGG
This 253-nucleotide ribosomal RNA is filed under the name uncultured bacterium. RNAcentral's name for it is "partial 16S ribosomal RNA". It matches the Rfam family "Bacterial small subunit ribosomal RNA", at positions 524 to 776 of the family's 1533-position model. The record is from RNAcentral.